UUCUGCCACCGAAUACAUUAGCAUGGGAUAAUGGAAUAGGACCCUGUCCUCCUAUUUUCAGUUGGUUUUGGCAGCGCGAGGACUAGGGUAAUGAUUAAUAGGGAUAGUUGGGGGCAUUAAUAUUUAAUUGUCAGAGGUGAAAUUCUUGGAUUUAUGAAAGAUUAACUUCUGCGAAAGCAUCUGCCAAGGAUGUUUUCAUUAAUCAAGAACGAAAGUUAGGGGAUCGAAGACGAUCAGAUACCGUCGUAGUCUUAACCAUAAACGAUGCCGACCAGCGAUUAGGAGACGUUGAAUACAAAACACCACCAUCGGUUGCGGUCGUCCUUGGCGUCUCGGUUUCGGCCGGGGCGCGGGGAUGGCUUAGCCCGGUGGCACCGGUGAAUGACUCCCUAGCAGCUUGUGAGAA
RNAcentral lists this ribosomal RNA (406 nucleotides) under Acanthamoeba sp. Its description in RNAcentral is "SSU rRNA". It matches the Rfam family "Eukaryotic small subunit ribosomal RNA", at positions 787 to 1096 of the family's 1831-position model. The record is from RNAcentral. Lineage: Eukaryota; Discosea; Longamoebia; Acanthamoebidae.